UGGGGAAUUUUGGACAAUGGGCGCAAGCCUGAUCCAGCAAUGCCGCGUGUGUGAAGAAGGCCUUCGGGUUGUAAAGCACUUUUGUCCGGAAAGAAAACCUCGUGGUUAAUACCCGUGGGGGAUGACGGUACCGGAAGAAUAAGCACCGGCUAACUACGUGCCAGCAGCCGCGGUAAUACGUAGGGUGCAAGCGUUAAUCGGAAUUACUGGGCGUAAAGCGUGCGCAGGCGGUUCGCUAAGACAGAUGUGAAAUCCCCGGGCUUAACCUGGGAACUGCAUUUGUGACUGGCGGGCUAGAGUAUGGCAGAGGGGGGUAGAAUUCCACGUGUAGCAGUGAAAUGCGUAGAGAUGUGGAGGAAUACCGAUGGCUAAGGCAGCCCCCUGGGCCAAUACUGACGCUCAUGCACGAAAGCGUGGGGAGCAAACAGG
This 429-nucleotide ribosomal RNA is filed under the name Bacillota bacterium. RNAcentral describes it as "Firmicutes bacterium partial 16S ribosomal RNA". It matches the Rfam family "Bacterial small subunit ribosomal RNA", at positions 355 to 776 of the family's 1533-position model. Lineage: Bacteria; Bacillati; Bacillota. The record is from RNAcentral.